This 2900-nucleotide ribosomal RNA is filed under the name Klebsiella pneumoniae. Its description in RNAcentral is "bacterial LSU rRNA". It matches the Rfam family "Bacterial large subunit ribosomal RNA". The record is from RNAcentral. Lineage: Bacteria; Pseudomonadati; Pseudomonadota; Gammaproteobacteria; Enterobacterales; Enterobacteriaceae.
UUAAGCGACUAAGCGUACACGGUGGAUGCCCUGGCAGUCAGAGGCGAUGAAGGACGUGCUAAUCUGCGAAAAGCGUCGGUAAGGUGAUAUGAACCGUUAUAACCGGCGAUGUCCGAAUGGGGAAACCCAGUGUGAUUCGUCACACUAUCGUUAACUGAAUACAUAGGUUAACGAGGCAAACCGGGGGAACUGAAACAUCUAAGUACCCCGAGGAAAAGAAAUCAACCGAGAUUCCCCCAGUAGCGGCGAGCGAACGGGGAGCAGCCCAGAGUCUGAAUCAGCUUGUGUGUUAGUGGAACGGUCUGGAAAGUCCGACGGUACAGGGUGAUAGUCCCGUACACCAAAAUGCACAGGUUGUGAACUCGAAGAGUAGGGCGGGACACGUGGUAUCCUGUCUGAAUAUGGGGGGACCAUCCUCCAAGGCUAAAUACUCCUGACUGACCGAUAGUGAACCAGUACCGUGAGGGAAAGGCGAAAAGAACCCCGGCGAGGGGAGUGAAAAAGAACCUGAAACCGUGUACGUACAAGCAGUGGGAGCACCUUCGGGUGUGACUGCGUACCUUUUGUAUAAUGGGUCAGCGACUUAUAUUCUGUAGCAAGGUUAACCGUAUAGGGGAGCCGCAGGGAAACCGAGUCUUAACUGGGCGUUAAGUUGCAGGGUAUAGACCCGAAACCCGGUGAUCUAGCCAUGGGCAGGUUGAAGGUUGGGUAACACUAACUGGAGGACCGAACCGACUAAUGUUGAAAAAUUAGCGGAUGACUUGUGGCUGGGGGUGAAAGGCCAAUCAAACCGGGAGAUAGCUGGUUCUCCCCGAAAGCUAUUUAGGUAGCGCCUCGUGAAUUCAUCUUCGGGGGUAGAGCACUGUUUCGGCUAGGGGGUCAUCCCGACUUACCAACCCGAUGCAAACUACGAAUACCGAAGAAUGUUAUCACGGGAGACACACGGCGGGUGCUAACGUCCGUCGUGAAGAGGGAAACAACCCAGACCGCCAGCUAAGGUCCCAAAGUCAUGGUUAAGUGGGAAACGAUGUGGGAAGGCACAGACAGCCAGGAUGUUGGCUUAGAAGCAGCCAUCAUUUAAAGAAAGCGUAAUAGCUCACUGGUCGAGUCGGCCUGCGCGGAAGAUGUAACGGGGCUAAACCAUGCACCGAAGCUGCGGCAGCGACACUAUGUGUUGUUGGGUAGGGGAGCGUUCUGUAAGCCUGCGAAGGUGACCUGUGAGGGUUGCUGGAGGUAUCAGAAGUGCGAAUGCUGACAUAAGUAACGAUAAAGCGGGUGAAAAGCCCGCUCGCCGGAAGACCAAGGGUUCCUGUCCAACGUUAAUCGGGGCAGGGUGAGUCGACCCCUAAGGCGAGGCCGAAAGGCGUAGUCGAUGGGAAACAGGUUAAUAUUCCUGUACUUGGUGUUACUGCGAAGGGGGGACGGAGAAGGCUAUGUUAGCCGGGCGACGGUUGUCCCGGUUUAAGCAUGUAGGCUGGUUGUCCAGGCAAAUCCGGAUAAUCAAGGCUGAGGUGUGAUGACGAGGCACUACGGUGCUGAAGUAACAAAUGCCCUGCUUCCAGGAAAAGCCUCUAAGCAUCAGGUAACAUCAAAUCGUACCCCAAACCGACACAGGUGGUCAGGUAGAGAAUACCAAGGCGCUUGAGAGAACUCGGGUGAAGGAACUAGGCAAAAUGGUGCCGUAACUUCGGGAGAAGGCACGCUGGUGUGUAGGUGAAGUCCCUGCGGAUGGAGCUGAGACCAGUCGAAGAUACCAGCUGGCUGCAACUGUUUAUUAAAAACACAGCACUGUGCAAACACGAAAGUGGACGUAUACGGUGUGACGCCUGCCCGGUGCCGGAAGGUUAAUUGAUGGGGUUAUCCGUAAGGAGAAGCUCUUGAUCGAAGCCCCGGUAAACGGCGGCCGUAACUAUAACGGUCCUAAGGUAGCGAAAUUCCUUGUCGGGUAAGUUCCGACCUGCACGAAUGGCGUAAUGAUGGCCAGGCUGUCUCCACCCGAGACUCAGUGAAAUUGAACUCGCUGUGAAGAUGCAGUGUACCCGCGGCAAGACGGAAAGACCCCGUGAACCUUUACUAUAGCUUGACACUGAACAUUGAGCCUUGAUGUGUAGGAUAGGUGGGAGGCUUUGAAGCGUGGACGCCAGUCUGCGUGGAGCCAACCUUGAAAUACCACCCUUUAAUGUUUGAUGUUCUAACGUUGGCCCCUUACCGGGGUUGCGGACAGUGUCUGGUGGGUAGUUUGACUGGGGCGGUCUCCUCCCAAAGCGUAACGGAGGAGCACGAAGGUUAGCUAAUCCUGGUCGGACAUCAGGAGGUUAGUGCAAUGGCAUAAGCUAGCUUGACUGCGAGCGUGACGGCGCGAGCAGGUGCGAAAGCAGGUCAUAGUGAUCCGGUGGUUCUGAAUGGAAGGGCCAUCGCUCAACGGAUAAAAGGUACUCCGGGGAUAACAGGCUGAUACCGCCCAAGAGUUCAUAUCGACGGCGGUGUUUGGCACCUCGAUGUCGGCUCAUCACAUCCUGGGGCUGAAGUAGGUCCCAAGGGUAUGGCUGUUCGCCAUUUAAAGUGGUACGCGAGCUGGGUUUAGAACGUCGUGAGACAGUUCGGUCCCUAUCUGCCGUGGGCGCUGGAGAAUUGAGGGGGGCUGCUCCUAGUACGAGAGGACCGGAGUGGACGCAUCACUGGUGUUCGGGUUGUCAUGCCAAUGGCACUGCCCGGUAGCUAAAUGCGGAAGAGAUAAGUGCUGAAAGCAUCUAAGCACGAAACUUGCCCCGAGAUGAGUUCUCCCUGAGACUUUAAGUCUCCUGAAGGAACGUUGAAGACGACGACGUUGAUAGGCCGGGUGUGUAAGCGCAGCGAUGCGUUGAGCUAACCGGUACUAAUGAACCGUGAGGCUUAACCUU